Molecule: transfer RNA, 72 nt
Filed under: Sus scrofa (pig)
Lineage: Eukaryota; Metazoa; Chordata; Mammalia; Artiodactyla; Suidae
Rfam family: tRNA
About the family: Transfer RNA (tRNA) molecules are approximately 80 nucleotides in length. Their secondary structure includes four short double-helical elements and three loops (D, anti-codon, and T loops).
Source: Rfam by way of RNAcentral
UCCCCGUUGGUCUAAUGGUUAGGACUUGGUGCUUUCACUACUGUGUCCUGGGUUCAAUCCCUGGUCUGGGAA